RNAcentral lists this ribosomal RNA (681 nucleotides) under uncultured bacterium. RNAcentral's name for it is "bacterial SSU rRNA". It matches the Rfam family "Bacterial small subunit ribosomal RNA", at positions 67 to 719 of the family's 1533-position model. The record is from RNAcentral.
CGCUUCUUUUUCCACCGGAGCUUGCUCCACCGGAAAAAGAGGAGUGGCGAACGGGUGAGUAACACGUGGGUAACCUGCCCAUCAGAAGGGGAUAACACUUGGAAACAGGUGCUAAUACCGUAUAACAAUCAAAACCGCAUGGUUUUGAUUUGAAAGGCGCUUUCGGGUGUCGCUGAUGGAUGGACCCGCGGUGCAUUAGCUAGUUGGUGAGGUAACGGCUCACCAAGGCCACGAUGCAUAGCCGACCUGAGAGGGUGAUCGGCCACAUUGGGACUGAGACACGGCCCAAACUCCUACGGGAGGCAGCAGUAGGGAAUCUUCGGCAAUGGACGAAAGUCUGACCGAGCAACGCCGCGUGAGUGAAGAAGGUUUUCGGAUCGUAAAACUCUGUUGUUAGAGAAGAACAAGGAUGAGAGUAACUGUUCAUCCCUUGACGGUAUCUAACCAGAAAGCCACGGCUAACUACGUGCCAGCAGCCGCGGUAAUACGUAGGUGGCAAGCGUUGUCCGGAUUUAUUGGGCGUAAAGCGAGCGCAGGCGGUUUCUUAAGUCUGAUGUGAAAGCCCCCGGCUCAACCGGGGAGGGUCAUUGGAAACUGGGAGACUUGAGUGCAGAAGAGGAGAGUGGAAUUCCAUGUGUAGCGGUGAAAUGCGUAGAUAUAUGGAGGAACACCAGUGGCGAA